This 529-nucleotide ribosomal RNA is filed under the name uncultured Bacillota bacterium. RNAcentral's name for it is "bacterial SSU rRNA". It matches the Rfam family "Bacterial small subunit ribosomal RNA", at positions 1 to 529 of the family's 1533-position model. The record is from RNAcentral. Lineage: Bacteria; Bacillati; Bacillota.
UGGAUCCAGACUUUGAUUAUGGCUCAGGACGAACGCUGGCGGCGUGCUUAACACAUGCAAGUCGAACGAGAAUCUAAUGACGGAGUUUUCGGACAACUGAUUUAGAGGACAGUGGCGGACUGGUGAGUAACGCGUGAGGAACCUGCCUUUCAGAGGGGGACAACAGUUGGAAACGACUGCUAAUACCGCAUGACGCAUUUUGAUCGCAUGGUCGAAAUGCCAAAGAUUUAUCGCUGAAAGAUGGCCUCGCGUCUGAUUAGCUAGUUGGUGAGGUAACGGCCCACCAAGGCGACGAUCAGUAGCCGGACUGAGAGGUUGACCGGCCACAUUGGGACUGAGAUACGGCCCAGACUCCUACGGGAGGCAUCAGUGGGGAAUAUUGGGCAAUGGGCGCAAGCCUGACCCAGCAACGCCGCGUGAAGGAAGAAGGCUUUCGGGUUGUAAACUUCUUUUAAGUGGGAAGAGCAGAAGACGGUACCACUUGAAUAAGCCACGGCUAACUACGUGCCAGCAGCCGCGGUAAUACGUA